Long non-coding RNA from Lacerta agilis (Sand lizard), 527 nucleotides. RefSeq lists it as uncharacterized. The record is from RefSeq and is a predicted model, not a curated record. Lineage: Eukaryota; Metazoa; Chordata; Lepidosauria; Squamata; Lacertidae. The transcript has 3 exons.
UGUGGAUACAUGCCAGACUUCCCCACUGCUGUUUGAACCGCAGCUGAGCAAAGUGAGGUAGCCCAGGUCCUUUUUUGAGAGAACAUCAUGGACUUUUCACAGAAACUGAGAAGGGCCACAGGGGCAGGCCGAGGGGUAUAUGUGAUGUUACUUUGUUUUCAGCGCAAGACUGCUGAAGGAGCCCCUCUCGGUCGCCAGCAAAAGGGCCAGCUCCACGAAUCGUCUCCAAGGUCAGUGCUGUGGGAUUUCCCUGUGCUUCCUCAACGACAGUGUUGAAACAUCGGAACAAUGGAACCUGACUGCUCAAAACUUCUCAGAGCAUUUACAGGUAGAAGUUUGCAAGUUUUGGAUCAUUUGAACUAGCGGUGUUAAAAGCAGCCUGAAAUUAAUCCGGACAACAAGCUUCAUCUGUUAUUUAUGCUAGGUCUGAUGCUUAGUGUCAGAAGCACUCCAAAGAAUAUUUAAACAGACCUUGAAUAAAAAGCAUGCACAGGGAAGAAUCGAUGUUGUCAUCUCUGUAGGAUGAA